GCACAUGGGUUAGUCGAUCC
This 20-nucleotide small nuclear RNA is filed under the name Arabidopsis thaliana (thale cress). Its description in RNAcentral is "snRNA_06894". Lineage: Eukaryota; Viridiplantae; Streptophyta; Magnoliopsida; Brassicales; Brassicaceae. The record is from RNAcentral.